GACGAGCGCUGGCGGCGUGCUUAACACAUGCAAGUCGAACGGAAAGGCCUCUUUCGGGGGGUACUCGAGUGGCGAACGGGUGAGUAACACGUGAGUAACCUGCCCUUGACUUUGGGAUAACUUCAGGAAACUGGGGCUAAUACCGGAUAGGAGCUCCUGCUGCAUGGUGGGGGUUGGAAAGUUUCGGCGGUUGGGGAUGGACUCGCGGCUUAUCAGCUUGUUGGUGGGGUAGUGGCUUACCAAGGCUUUGACGGGUAGCCGGCCUGAGAGGGUGACCGGCCACAUUGGGACUGAGAUACGGCCCAGACUCCUACGGGAGGCAGCAGUGGGGAAUAUUGCACAAUGGGUGGAAGCCUGAUGCAGCAACGCCGUGGGCGGGAGGACGGCCUUCGGGUUGUAAACCGCUUUCGCUCAUGACGAAGCUUUGUGUGACGGUAGUGGGUAAAGAAGCACCGGCUAACUACGUG
RNAcentral lists this ribosomal RNA (467 nucleotides) under uncultured bacterium. Its description in RNAcentral is "partial 16S ribosomal RNA". It matches the Rfam family "Bacterial small subunit ribosomal RNA", at positions 28 to 507 of the family's 1533-position model. The record is from RNAcentral.